AAUGCAAGUCGAUCCGUUUCACUUCGGUGAGACGAGGCAAACGGGAGAGUAACACAUUGGUAACCUACCCUGGAGACGAGAAUAACCCUGCGAAAGCGGGGAUAAUCCUCGAUAAUAGUGAGAAACGUCAAGUUUUUUACUUAAAGCUCCGGCGCUCCGGGAGGGGCCUAUGUCCUAUCAGCUAGUUGGUAAGGUAACUGCUUACCAAGGCAACGACGGGUAGCGGGGGUGAGAGCCCUGUCCGCCUCACUGGGACUGAGACACUGCCCAGACUCCUACGGGAGGCUGCAGUCAAGAAUCUUCCUCAAUGGCCGCAAGGCUGAAGGAGCGACGCCGCGUGCAUGAUGAAGCCCUUCGGGGUGUAAAAUGCUUUUAACCGGGAUGAAUUUUGACAGUACCGGUUGAAUAAGGGGCUGCCAAUCUCGUGCCAGCAGCAGCGGUAAUACGAGAGCCCCAAGCGUUAUCCGGAUUUACUGGGCGUAAAGGGUCCGUAGGCGGUUUGCCACAUCUUUUGGUAAAUCCUUUGGCUCAACCAAAGGACUCCAGAGGAAAUGGGUAAACUAGAGGCCGGAAGAGGCAAGCGGAAUUGCCGGUGUAGGGGUUAAAUCCGUUAAGAUCGGCAAGAACACCAAAUGCGAAGGCAGCUUGCUAGGACGGUCCUGACGCUAAGGGACUAAAGCGUGGGGAGCGAAGGGGAUUAGAUACCCCCGUAGUCCACGCCCUAAACGUUGGAUGCUAGACAUUGGGAGUCAUCGACCCUC
RNAcentral lists this ribosomal RNA (761 nucleotides) under uncultured bacterium. RNAcentral describes it as "bacterial SSU rRNA". It matches the Rfam family "Bacterial small subunit ribosomal RNA", at positions 54 to 841 of the family's 1533-position model. The record is from RNAcentral.